UACGGGGGGGGCAAGCGUUGUUCGGAAUUACUGGGCGUAAAGAGCGCGUAGGUGGCCAACUAAGUCAGACGUGAAAUCCCUCGGCUUAACCGGGGAACUGCGUCUGAUACUGGAUGGCUUGAGUUUGGGAGAGGGAUGCGGAAUUCCAGGUGUAGCGGUGAAAUGCGUAGAUAUCUGGAGGAACACCGGUGGCGAAGGCGGCAUCCUGGACCAACACUGACGCUGAGUGAGCGAAAGCCAGGGGAGCAAACGGG
This 254-nucleotide ribosomal RNA is filed under the name uncultured bacterium. RNAcentral describes it as "partial 16S ribosomal RNA". It matches the Rfam family "Bacterial small subunit ribosomal RNA", at positions 524 to 776 of the family's 1533-position model. The record is from RNAcentral.